GUAGGUGAACCUGCGGAAGGAUCACUAUUAAUUAUAAUGUUGUGUGAGUUAUUAUUGUUGUCUCUUUUUAGGGAUGGUAGUAAUGUGAUUUCUCGUGCAUCCAACCCUGUGAACUGGUUCUAUUCUCUUUUCUGACUGUACACUUUCGAGUGUAUAUAGGUAUAGGGAGAAUAGAGCGUAUUUUAGAUAUACUCUUGUUUUACUUUAUUUCUACUCGGCGAUGGACUGUUGGAAAGAUUUUUACUCUUAA
RNAcentral lists this unclassified non-coding RNA (250 nucleotides) under plant metagenome. RNAcentral describes it as "partial contains small subunit ribosomal RNA, internal transcribed spacer 1, and 5.8S ribosomal RNA". The record is from RNAcentral.